Oryzias latipes (Japanese medaka) is the source of this 980-nucleotide long non-coding RNA. RefSeq lists it as uncharacterized. The record is from RefSeq and is a predicted model, not a curated record. NCBI's taxonomy places the organism in Eukaryota, Metazoa, Chordata, Actinopteri, Beloniformes, Adrianichthyidae.
AGGUGGGCGGGAAUUUGAUUAACGAACGUGACAUGAGUCUUGAAGUGCAGGGAUGCUCUGGCACAAAAGCAUAUCCCGAACAAACAACAUUUCCUGUGAAUUAAGGAAACUAUAUUUCCAUGAAGACAAACAAAUAAACAAACAAACAAACAUCUGAAACCUGAUGACAAAAACAAGCCCUCAUCACACAAGAGGAGCUGAAAAGAACAGGCGAUGCGAGAGAGAGCGUGCUCUAACCCAUCACCAUGGCAACAGUGAAUUUGAAGUCUUUGGUGGAGCAGGCGAUUGUGCAUGUUUGUGUGUGAUGGUGUGUGUGUGUGUGUGUGUGUGUGUGUGUGUGUGUCAGAAGCAGGGUUUUUCUGAGAUUAUAAAAAAGUGUGAGAACUCCACUGACUUGCAAACCUGCAUGAGUGUGAAACGGACGAGGAAUGAACAUUCCUGAGAGAUGACAGACUCCUGACUCAUUUGGCCACAGCAUUUCUGCAGGCUUCAUCCAUCCAACAAGCUCUCAGCACUGCUGAUGCCUCCAAACUGAAGGAUUUAAGAGAAGGGAGGUGAUUUGGCCCCCUUUUUGCCCAAGGAUAAGCUAAUUCCCUCAAGAGUUCUGGUACAUCGCCUGUCCAUCCUGGGGAGGAUCCCUCCUUUAUGUGAACAUCCCUAAGGUCCUGCUUUUUUUUCCCUGAUCUUGGAUUCUGUAAACACUAGUUCUGUUGCUGGUGGGAAUUCUUCACAUUGAUUUUUUUCUUCAAAAAUCUAAACCAGCACGCCACCAUGCAGCCCAACGUAUCCUAACACAUCUGAAAAAAUAUAUGUAUAACAGCAGAAAAAGAGCAUCAGAGCAGUAAUCUAGGCAGACAACUGAUCCCAAAACAGAGUUCUCCUCGUAACCCUUGUGCUAUCCUAGGCACUUUAACAUUGGGAGUUGGGUCAUCUAGACCCACUGACUAGACAGUGCACUGAACCUUUUUUCUUCAAUGAUU